UCUUGUUGUUUUGUGUUAUCCAGGAGAUCCUGACAGUGAUGUGUGCAGCCUUGAUGAAAACACGCUCAUGUUGAAGAACCGAGACGUCAACUUCCUGAACACCGUUCUCACCCAGCUGCAAUUCGUGGUCUUCCAGGAGGCUGACAUCAUCAUCAGGCAGAACACGUCCAGAGACCGCAUGUUCUUCAUCGAGCACCGCCAGUUCCUGGUGAAGACCGACUUUUUCCAGAAGGAGCUUAUUGACAGAGACUACUUUGGAGAUCUGCCUCCUGACCAAAGGAAGCGUUUGGCAACAGUGUGAGCUAUGACCAUUUGCCAGCUCUUAUCCCUGCACGCAGACAGCUUCCAGCAGGUCCUACAGGCCUUCCCUAACGUCAGGAAAGAUCUGGAGAUGACUGCCCAAUAGCGCCAAGAGGACCUAAAGAAGGCACAACAACAGAGUGAAUCCAAACCUAAAGAUAUGCAGAGGGAAAACUGAGGAGAUAACUGAGUGAAGGGGCCUCGCACAACACCAUUCACUAACACUUAGUUUAAAAAACAAUGUAGAACCAAACAAUGUUACACAUUUUUUGUAAAUAAAAUGAACAGAUACUGGUAUGCUG
This is a non-coding RNA of Oncorhynchus mykiss (rainbow trout), 602 nucleotides long. NCBI's taxonomy places the organism in Eukaryota, Metazoa, Chordata, Actinopteri, Salmoniformes, Salmonidae. The record is from RefSeq and is a predicted model, not a curated record.